UCCAUACAUUGUAGGAUGUUCUCACAUUACUGGUGUUGUACAAAAACAUAGAAGUUAAACGUGAAUUGAGAGCAACAUAGAAAGGCUUUUUGCAAGCAGUUCAUGUGUGAUUAAAGUGUGCAAACCUGAAGCUACAUGAACCAUAUUGAAGAACCAACUCCAUAAAGAGUUUUAUGUGUCUUUCUUUAUUUAUAAUUAAAUUGUAGUAGGUGUUUUCAUAUUGUGCUUUUCAGCUUUAUCUAGAAGCAAUUGUAAUAGGUACUUUGAAUAUUCAAGUUAGAGUUAACUUGAAGUUGCCGCAACAGUUAGAGGUUGGUUGCUACGACGUGAUUAGAAGUAAUCCUAAGGUUUACAAAGAGUUUUGUAAAUAAUGUUUUGGCUCAAUGAUUUAGUGAAGUGUUGGGUAAACUUCUACUGAGUAGUAGGUCGUAGUUUUUUCCCAUUUUGUACUUUUCAUAUUAUACUUUUGAGUAGUAGGUCAUAUGUACUUUUUAGCUUUAUCUACAAGCAAUUGUAAUAGGUACUUUUAGUAUUCAAGUUAUAAUUAACUUGAAAUUAUCGCAACAGUUAGAGGCUGG
Molecule: long non-coding RNA, 578 nt
Filed under: Nicotiana benthamiana
Lineage: Eukaryota; Viridiplantae; Streptophyta; Magnoliopsida; Solanales; Solanaceae
Description: long non-coding RNA (NBEN_LNC038279)
Source: RNAcentral